GUGUGCGUAAUUUAAAAAAAAUAUCAAGCUGUGACCAUGACAAUAGGAACUAGCUCCUCGCACACC
Molecule: transfer RNA, 66 nt
Filed under: Imantodes cenchoa (blunthead tree snake)
Lineage: Eukaryota; Metazoa; Chordata; Lepidosauria; Squamata; Dipsadidae
Description: tRNA-His
Source: RNAcentral